CGUAGGGUGCAAGCGUUGUCCGGAAUUACUGGGCGUAAAGAGCUCGUAGGUGGUUUGUCGCGUCGUCUGUGAAAUCCCGGGGCUUAACUUCGGGCGUGCAGGCGAUACGGGCAUAACUUGAGUGCUGUAGGGGAGACUGGAAUUCCUGGUGUAGCGGUGAAAUGCGCAGAUAUCAGGAGGAACACCGAUGGCGAAGGCAGGUCUCUGGGGCAGUAACUGACGCUGAGGAGCGAAAAGCAUGGGGUAGCGAAACAGGAUU
RNAcentral lists this ribosomal RNA (259 nucleotides) under uncultured bacterium. Its description in RNAcentral is "partial 16S ribosomal RNA". It matches the Rfam family "Bacterial small subunit ribosomal RNA", at positions 526 to 779 of the family's 1533-position model. The record is from RNAcentral.